RNAcentral lists this ribosomal RNA (253 nucleotides) under uncultured bacterium. RNAcentral describes it as "partial 16S ribosomal RNA". It matches the Rfam family "Bacterial small subunit ribosomal RNA", at positions 524 to 776 of the family's 1533-position model. The record is from RNAcentral.
UACGGGGGGAGCAAGCGUUGUUCGGAUUUACUGGGCGUAAAGGGCUCGUAGGUGGCCAACUAAGUCGGACGUGAAAUCCCUCGGCUUAACCGGGGAACUGCGUCCGAUACUGGUUGGCUUGAGUUUGGGAGAGGGAUGCGGAAUUCCUGGUGUAGCGGUGAAAUGCGCAGAUAUCAGGAGGAACACCGGUGGCGAAGGCGCCACUCUGGGCCGAAACUGACGCUGAGGAGCGAAAGCGUGGGUAGCAAACAGG